This 402-nucleotide ribosomal RNA is filed under the name uncultured prokaryote. RNAcentral describes it as "bacterial SSU rRNA". It matches the Rfam family "Bacterial small subunit ribosomal RNA", at positions 355 to 774 of the family's 1533-position model. The record is from RNAcentral.
UGGGGAAUUUUGGUAAUCUGCGAAAGCGGGAACCAGCAACGCCGCGUGUGCGAUGAAGGCCUUCGGGUUGUAAAACACUUUUUGGAGGGAUGAGGAAGGACAGUACCUCCAGAAUAAGCCUCGGCUAACUACGUGCCAGCAGCCGCGGUAACACGUAGGAGGCAAGCGUUAUUCGGAUUUACUGGGCGUAAAGCGCGUGCAGGCGGUUCGGAAAGUUGGAUGUGAAAGCUCCUGGCUUAACUGGGAGAGGUCGUUCAAUACUUCCGGACUUGAGAGUGGGAGAGGGAGGUGGAAUUCCGGGUGUAGUGGUGAAAUGCGUAGAUAUCCGGAGGAACACCAGUGGCGAAAGCGGCCUCCUGGCCCAUUUCUGACGCUUAGACGCGAAAGCUAGGGUAGCAAACG